UUCUAUAAAAAAUAUUUUUCAUAUACAAUUUUUUCCCCGUAAAACAAAUGGAGCCUAAAUAACUAAUAUUGGAAUACUUCUCACAUUACUUAGAUGAGAUUUUAAUUAAAAAUGACUCUGGGAUUACUAUGUUCUUAGACCUGAAACUGGGGCUAAUUAAAUUAGUCUAUAAUACUUCUCACAGUUGAACAUGUUUAACUGAAUAACAAUAAACAUAGUUGCAUAAGCACAUCCACCAAGACCGCCACAUAAUAUUAGAUCCUCCUCCAUGCCAAAACAGAUGCAAUUAUAUUUUUUAAAAUUAUUUUAUCUUCGCUAUAAUAUGGAUAAUGCGCAUGAAUUGAUUUAUUGGAAUGGAGUGAUAUCAUCACAUAUACAGAUGCACCAGGAAAUAACCUUCUAUGUUUGGCAGAGUAAUAUGUCAAGCACUGACGGCCACAAUGAGUAGAAAGAAACAGAGUAGCACAAGGAGUCAGAAUAUAACAUAUGAUGUAUCUUGAAAGAUAAAAUUACUUACCCCCAA
Molecule: unclassified non-coding RNA, 523 nt
Filed under: Hevea brasiliensis (rubber tree)
Lineage: Eukaryota; Viridiplantae; Streptophyta; Magnoliopsida; Malpighiales; Euphorbiaceae
Source: RNAcentral